GUCUACGGUCCCGCUGCCCUGAACGUGCCCGAUCCCGUCUGAGCUCGGAAGCUAAGCAGGGUCGGGCCUGGUGAGUACUUGGAAGGGAGACCACCUAGGAAGACUGGGUGCUGUUUGCG
Pteropus vampyrus (large flying fox) is the source of this 119-nucleotide ribosomal RNA. The record is from Ensembl. NCBI's taxonomy places the organism in Eukaryota, Metazoa, Chordata, Mammalia, Chiroptera, Pteropodidae.